GAUGAACGCUGGCGGCGUGCCUAAUACAUGCAAGUCGAGCGAACAGACGAGGAGCUUGCUCCUCUGACGUUAGCGGCGGAAGGGUGAGUAACACGUGGAUAACCUACCUAUAAGACUGGGAUAACUUCGGGAAACCGGAGCUAAUACCGGAUAAUAUAUUGAACCGAAUGGUUCAAUAGUGAAAGACGGUUUUGCUGUCACUUAUAGAUUGAUCCGCGCCGCAUUAGCUAGUUGGUAAGGUAACGGCUUACCAAGGCGACGAUGCGUAGAUGCCCUGAGAGGGUGAACGGCCACACUGAGAGUGAGACACGUCACAGACUCUUACGGGAGGCAGCAGUAGAGAACCUUCCGCAAUGGACGAAAGCCUUACGGAGCAACGCCGGGUGAGUCAUGAUGGACUUCGGAUCGUAGAACUCUGUUAUUAGGGAAGAACAAAUGUGUAAGUAACUAUGCACGUCUUGACGGUACCGAGUCAGAAAGCCACGGCUAACUACGUG
Molecule: ribosomal RNA, 497 nt
Filed under: uncultured bacterium
Lineage: Bacteria
Description: partial 16S ribosomal RNA
Rfam family: Bacterial small subunit ribosomal RNA
Source: RNAcentral